GUUUAAACACCGGUUUCUAAACGAUCACCGAAGUUAAGCAACGUCAAGCCUGGUCAGUAUAUGGAUUGGUGACCGCUUGGGAAUACCGGGUGCUGUAAG
Molecule: non-coding RNA, 99 nt
Organism: Acanthosepion pharaonis
Lineage: Eukaryota; Metazoa; Mollusca; Cephalopoda; Sepiida; Sepiidae
Source: the annotation of a GenBank genome assembly